Molecule: ribosomal RNA, 937 nt
Filed under: Salmonella enterica
Lineage: Bacteria; Pseudomonadati; Pseudomonadota; Gammaproteobacteria; Enterobacterales; Enterobacteriaceae
Description: partial 23S ribosomal RNA
Rfam family: Bacterial large subunit ribosomal RNA
Source: RNAcentral
CGCGCGAUACAGGGUGACAGCCCCGUACACAAAAGCGCAUGUGCUGUGAGCUCGAUGAGUAGGGCGGGACACGUGGUAUCCUGUCUGAAUAUGGGGGGACCAUCCUCCAAGGCUAAAUACUCCUGACUGACCGAUAGUGAACCAGUACCGUGAGGGAAAGGCGAAAAGAACCCCGGCGAGGGGAGUGAAAAAGAACCUGAAACCGUGUACGUACAAGCAGUGGGAGCCCCACCACCAAAGCAUUCUCUGGUGUUGAAGGCCCUGCAAAGCAGCAUCGCGGUGGCGGAGCGUCGUUUGCGACGCCCAACACACAAAACAAGCGGUGAGUGCUUUGGGGUGGGGUGACUGCGUACCUUUUGUAUAAUGGGUCAGCGACUUAUAUUCUGUAGCAAGGUUAACCGAAUAGGGGAGCCGGAGGGAAACCGAGUCUUAAUUGGGCGUUAAGUUGCAGGGUAUAGACCCGAAACCCGGUGAUCUAGCCAUGGGCAGGUUGAAGGUUGGGUAACACUAACUGGAGGACCGAACCGACUAAUGUUGAAAAAUUAGCGGAUGACCUGUGGCUGGGGGUGAAAGGCCAAUCAAACCGGGAGAUAGCUGGUUCUCCCCGAAAGCUAUUUAGGUAGCGCCUCGUGAAUUCAUCUCCGGGGGUAGAGCACUGUUUCGGCUAGGGGGCCAUCCCGGCUUACCAACCCGAUGCAAACUGCGAAUACCGGAGAAUGUUAUCACGGGAGACACACGGCGGGUGCUAACGUCCGUCGUGAAGAGGGAAACAACCCAGACCGCCAGCUAAGGUCCCAAAGUCAUGGUUAAGUGGGAAACGAUGUGGGAAGGCCCAGACAGCCAGGAUGUUGGCUUAGAAGCAGCCAUCAUUUAAAGAAAGCGUAAUAGCUCACUGGUCGAGUCGGCCUGCGCGGAAGAUGUAACGGGGCUAAACCAU